This is a long non-coding RNA of Mastomys coucha (southern multimammate mouse), 377 nucleotides long. RefSeq lists it as uncharacterized. The transcript has 2 exons. NCBI's taxonomy places the organism in Eukaryota, Metazoa, Chordata, Mammalia, Rodentia, Muridae. The record is from RefSeq and is a predicted model, not a curated record.
CCAGCGCCAUCUUGGAUUUUAUCUUCCAAGCGGCUGCCUACACUAAAACAAACAAACAAACAAACCUGCAGGGCUAGGGAUGUAGCUCAGUUCUGGAGCAUGGGCCAAGCACAAGGAAUUUUUAUGUAUCCCUUCUGGCCUGAGGAUGGCCUCAAACUUGGACUGAAUUCUGCCUCUCCCUCAAGAGAGCUGGGAUUAUACAUGCACCACCACAGCUGGCUAGUCCACUGGCCUAGAAGAUACGUGCUGGAGGCCUCAGAGUGAGGCACAGAAUGAUUGAAUAGCCCACCUAGUCACUGAUUUGAACUUCAACCAUGAGUUGAACUCAGUCAAAUUAACAAUCUGAGCUAUACAAAUUUCACUUACGACUAGAGCAA